GUGUCAGCCGCCGCGGUAAUACGUAGGGUGCGAGCGUUGUCCGGAAUUAUUGGGCGUAAAGAGCUCGUAGGCGGCCUGUCGCGUCGGAUGUGAAAGCCCGGGGCUCAACCCCGGGUCUGCAUUCGAUACGGGCAGGCUGGAGUGUGGUAGGGGAGAUCGGAAUUCCUGGUGUAGCGGUGAAAUGCGCAGAUAUCAGGAGGAACACCGGUGGCGAAGGCGGAUCUCUGGGCCAUUACUGACGCUGAGGAGCGAAAGCGUGGGGAGCGAACAGGAUUAGAUACCCGGGUAGUCC
This 292-nucleotide ribosomal RNA is filed under the name uncultured bacterium. RNAcentral's name for it is "partial 16S ribosomal RNA". It matches the Rfam family "Bacterial small subunit ribosomal RNA", at positions 505 to 796 of the family's 1533-position model. The record is from RNAcentral.